RNAcentral lists this transfer RNA (84 nucleotides) under Chloroflexi bacterium ADurb.Bin344. RNAcentral's name for it is "tRNA-Tyr". It matches the Rfam family "tRNA". Rfam says of the family: Transfer RNA (tRNA) molecules are approximately 80 nucleotides in length. Their secondary structure includes four short double-helical elements and three loops (D, anti-codon, and T loops). The record is from RNAcentral. Lineage: Bacteria; Bacillati; Chloroflexota.
GGACGGUUACCCAAGUGGCCAACGGGGUCUGACUGUAAAUCAGAUAGCAGAAGCUUUCGGAGGUUCGAAUCCUUCACCGUCCAC